GGCGCACGGGUGCGUAACGCGUAUGCAACCUACCUUUAACAGGGGAAUAGCCCCGAGAAAUCGGGAUUAAUACUCCGUAACAUUGCGGUGUGGCAUCACACUGCAAUUAAAGAUUUAUCGGUUAAAGAUGGGCAUGCGUGACAUUAGCUAGUUGGUGAGGUAACGGCUCACCAAGGCAACGAUGUCUAGGGGUCCUGAGAGGGUUAUCCCCCACACUGGUACUGAGACACGGACCAGACUCCUACGGGAGGCAGCAGUAAGGAAUAUUGGUCAAUGGGCGCAAGCCUGAACCAGCCAUGCCGCGUGCAGGAAGACGGCCCUAUGGGUUGUAAACUGCUUUUAUCAGGGAAUAAACCCCCGCUCGUGAGCGGGGCUGAAGGUACCUGAAGAAUAAGCAUCGGCUAACUCCGUGCCAGCAGCCGCGGUAAUACGGAGGAUGCAAGCGUUAUCCGGAUUCAUUGGGUUUAAAGGGUGCGCAGGCGGAUUGGUAAGUCAGGGGUGAAAUCCCACAGCUCAACUGUGGAACUGCCUUUGAUACUGUCAGUCUAGAGUAUAGUUGAAGUUGGCGGAAUGUGUCAUGUAGCGGUGAAAUGCUUAGAUAUGACACAGAACGCCGAUCGCGAAGGCGGCUAGCUAAGCUAUAACUGACGCUCGUGCGCGAAAGCGUGGGGAUCAAACAGGAUUAGAUACCCUGGUAGUCCACGC
This 705-nucleotide ribosomal RNA is filed under the name uncultured bacterium. RNAcentral's name for it is "bacterial SSU rRNA". It matches the Rfam family "Bacterial small subunit ribosomal RNA", at positions 97 to 800 of the family's 1533-position model. The record is from RNAcentral.